GUGCAGCAAGGCGAGAAACUUCACACUGUGCGAAAGCACGAUGAGGGAAUCCCAAGUGCUUGCACGUAAGUGUAAGCUGUUUCUCUGUCUAAAACGCAGAGAGAGUAAGGGCUGGGUAAGACGGGUGCCAGCCGCCGCGGUAAUACCUGCAGCUCAAGUGGUGACCGUUAUUAUUGGGCCUAAAACGUCCGUAGCCGGUUUAAUAAAUGCCUGGGUAAAUUGUGUAGCUUAACUAUACGAAUUCCGGGUAGACUGUUAAACUUGAGACCGGGAGAAGUUAGAGGUACUCCUGGGGUAGAGGUGAAAUUCUGUAAUCCUAGGGGACCACCAGUGGCGAAGGCGUCUAACUAGAACGGGUCUGACGGUGAGGGACGAAGCCCUGGGGCGCAAACGGGAUUAGAUGCCCGGGUAGU
Molecule: ribosomal RNA, 413 nt
Filed under: uncultured microorganism
Description: bacterial SSU rRNA
Rfam family: Archaeal small subunit ribosomal RNA
Source: RNAcentral